Molecule: long non-coding RNA, 1543 nt
Filed under: Hordeum vulgare
Lineage: Eukaryota; Viridiplantae; Streptophyta; Magnoliopsida; Poales; Poaceae
Description: long non-coding RNA (HVUL_LNC013994)
Source: RNAcentral
CCAACUGCCCGUGCUCUUGCUCCACCGUUGGUGGUGCCCGAGCUAGUGGCUAUGGCGACAACCUGUAUGGGAGCAUGUGAUGUAGGAACAAGGCAGCGCACAAAACAACUCGUAGCCAGGAAAAGGAUGCCCAAUUGGACUAGCAUGCAGUGGAGUGUACAUUGGAGGUGCAUGGGAAGGUACAAAAAAACUGUCUUGAGUCGGCUGCCUCCAUCGUCGGCCUUGUUGGACCCAAAGCCGAGUGGCCAGGNNNNNNNNNNGCAUUCCACGUUCCCUUGCCGGGUGUCCCUGGCCUUGGCGACAGGUAGCGACGUGCUCCUGGUCGCUCUGCGUCCUUGGGUAAGACGGUGGUGGUGCCGACUGCCCGUGCUCUUGCUCCACCAUUGGUGGUGCCUGAGCUAGUGGCUAUGGCGACAACCUGUAUGGGAGCACGUGAUGUAGGAACAAGGCAGCGCACAAAACAACUCGUAGCCAGGAAAAGGAUGCCCAAUUGGUCUAGCAUGCAGUGGAGUGUACAUGGGAGGUGCGUGGGAAGGUGCAAAAAAAUUGUCUUGAGUUGGCUGCCUCCAUCGUCGGCCUUGUUGGACCCAAAGCCGAGUGGCCAGGGGAAGCAAGGAGGACGGAAGAUAGGGAUGGUCCACCAUCCUAUGUUUGUACAUUAUCCAUGACAGUGGAUGGUUACGGGUAGAUUCGGUGUCUACAUGUGAAUAUACUAUCCGGGGUUCAUGACGUGGCUGUUGUGGAGUGAGGUGCCAUAACUAUCUUGCCUAGUUGGUGGGCACUCUGCUAUGUGGCUCUUGUGUUAGUCGAAUAUAUUGGAGUGGCAAUACUAGAUCUGGGUGUGUGUUUAGUGCAANNNNNNNNNNUGGAAGAUAGGGAUGGUCCACCACCCUAUGGUUGUACAUUAUCCAUGACAGUGGACACUUACGGGUAGAUUCGGUGUCUACAUGUGAAUCUACUAUUCGGGGUGCAUGACGUGGCUGUUGUGGAGUGAGGUGCCAUAACUAUCGUGCCUAGUUGGUGGGCACUCUGCUAUGUGGCUCUUGUGUGAGUUGAAUAUAUUGGAGUGGCAAUACUAGAUCUGGGUGUGUGUUUAGUGCAAUAUUCGCAUGUGUCGUGCUGUUGAUGAGGCUAUGUUGCUUGUGCGAUUUUCAGCCAAAUUUUCCUUGUAAAUUGGCUUGCUUUGUUUGGUCUUUGAUCCAUAUUCCCUUAUAAACUGGAUCAAUCUCUUUUUGAGGGAUAGAAACACCAAAAUUCUGAAGCUGAUGGUGGAUCAACAACACUGAACUUGGAGAGAUAGAAACCAUGUUGUGCUGUACUGUUGGCCUACGUUAAGAAAUUGGCCAACUAUAAAUCGGAAGGCANNNNNNNNNNCGAUCCAUAUUCCCUUAUAAACUGGAUCAAUCUCUUUUUGAGAGAUAGAAACAUCAAAAUUCUGAAGCUGAUGGUGGAUCAACAACACUGAGAUUGGAGAGAUAGAAACCAUGUUGUGCUCUACUGUUGGCCUACGUUAAGAAAUUGGCCAACUAUAAAUCGGAAGGCA